CUGUAACAGAAGAUGUUUAUCUAGCUUUAAUUUUAGGGCCUGGUUUCUAAAAAUCUUAAUUGACUCCUUUCAAAUGUAUUUUAUCUAGUGAUAAUGCUACAUUUCAAGCAACAAUUAGGACAGAUUCAUCUACUGUAUCUGUGAUACAAAUGAUAGAUAUUAAACACAUAAAAUAGAGACAAAGGUUAAAGGGUAACUUAUUUCAGAGUUUGGCAAUUGUUUAGAUGGUUGAACCUUGCCUCUUGGCUGCUAAGUUCCCUGUAUAUUUUUUGUAUUGACUUCAUUCAUAUAAAGCAUCAAAAGUUAUAUUUGUUGAUUUGACAGCAACUGGGCCAUCAGAUAUCAAAAUUCUUGACCUUGUUUUUAUAAAGUUCUAUAUUUUCCAUCAUAUUUUCUGUAAGUCUCCCUGUAGCAUGCUCCUCUCGCCACAUAACUCAGCACCAUGGACAGAGGUUCUCCCUAAUCCUGGAAAUUCUGUUGGACCUAUUAUCAAGGGAAGGUUUUACCCCAAGAUUUAUAAUCCUGUGCCAUAGUGUCAGCCUCAGGAAACAGAUGCAUCAGUUAAGCCACAGUCAUAGACAAGGGGGACCACCUAUUCUCAGGCAGCAAAGGGCAGCAGCCCUGCAGGGCUCUUGCCAGCCCUUAGAGCCCCUAAUUGUCCUCAGCUGGGCCUGCCUACUGCUAUUUAAGCUCCAGCUGAGGAGCAUUUCCUGUUAUUGCUUCUUCUGCUUGGCUGCUGGGGGAACUGGGCUUCAUCUUUGA
RNAcentral lists this long non-coding RNA (762 nucleotides) under Zonotrichia albicollis (white-throated sparrow). Its description in RNAcentral is "lncRNA (ENSZALG00000016722.1)". The record is from RNAcentral. Lineage: Eukaryota; Metazoa; Chordata; Aves; Passeriformes; Passerellidae.